Molecule: long non-coding RNA, 314 nt
Organism: Haliotis rubra (blacklip abalone)
Lineage: Eukaryota; Metazoa; Mollusca; Gastropoda; Lepetellida; Haliotidae
Exons: 3
Source: RefSeq, a predicted model, not a curated record
GCCGAACAGGAACCUACAUCGCUGUGGACUACCUAUUGGACCAGGCUCUGGCUGUAGAUAAGGUCGAUGUGUUUGGUUGUGUCUCAAAGAUGAGAGACCAGAGGAAGGGCAUGAUACAGACCAAGGACCAGUACAAAUGUGUCUACAUGACCUUGCAAGAGGCUCUGGAGUUUGGAAACACAACCAUGGAUAUGCAGGAGUUCAAUCAAAAUCGAAGUGGGAACAGAACCUUCAAGAUGGGACGCAUAGAACCCACACAGUUAAUACAGAUCCUGAAUGCUAAAGGAGAGUUCUCAAGAAAAGGUAAGCAAAGG